This 3935-nucleotide unclassified non-coding RNA is filed under the name Helicoverpa zea (corn earworm). Its description in RNAcentral is "probable aminopeptidase NPEPL1, transcript variant X1". Lineage: Eukaryota; Metazoa; Arthropoda; Insecta; Lepidoptera; Noctuidae. The record is from RNAcentral.
UCGACGCUAAAAACGUUGUUUGUGUUGUAAAUUGUCAUGUUUUUGUGUUAUGUAAGUCAGCAUGCUGCUGUUAAGAAUAUUUAAUACGUUUAUAAGUGUUAUUAAGCAUCCUACUUAUGUCGCAGUUCGCACAAUGUCAAACGCGUCGGUGAGCAUAAAGAUCCGGAGUGGUCUGACGCCGUCUGACCCGGAGCAGCAGCCGGUGCUGAUCGUCGGCCAGGCUGCUCACCUCGCCGCGCUCAGCUGGGACGAUGUGCGCUGUAAGCUGGAGCCCAGGGUCUCUGAGGAGGCAUGGCGCCGCGGGCUGCAAUGCGUGACAUCAUCCCCGGGCGACACGUGCGAGCUGUGGCCCCGCGCCGCAUCGCUCGCAUCGCUCCCGUCGCGUCGCUCGCGUCACGCGGCGCCCGCUAGAGGACACGCGCUCGCUAAGAUCGUGCGCUCGACGCAGCGCUCUACUGACGAGACUAUUGUCCUGGUGUGCCGCAAGCGCGACGUGCUGGCGAGCGCGGUGAGCGUGGCGCGCUCGUUCCCGCUGUACCACGCGCGCUCCGCCGCCGCGCCGCUGUGCCCCGCGCCCGCGCCGCCCGCCGCCCGCGCACUGGCCCUGGAGAUACACCUCGUGAAGGAGGAUAGACAGGAUGGUGAAUCUGAAGAGGAAGGCCUGGGUGUGCUGGACGCAGCUCUGCUGGACAGCUCGCUGUCCGUCGAGGAGGUGCGGACGCUGCAGGACGCGGCCGACGCCACGCGCCUCGCCGCCCGCAUCACCGACACGCCCGCCAACAUCAUGAGUGUCGACAGCUUUGUGGAGGAAGCCUGCAAAGUAGCAAAAGAACUCGACAUCCCCGAACCCACUAUAAUCCGAGGCGAGGAACUCAAAGCCCGUGGCAUGGGCGGUAUCUACGGCGUAGGGCGGGCGGCGGCCUGUCCCCCCGCCCUGGUCUCGCUGUCCUACAGGGCUCCGGGGGCGGCUGACAACGUGGCCUGGGUCGGGAAGGGAAUUGUCUACGAUACCGGCGGCCUCAGUAUCAAGGCAAGGACGUCGAUGGUAGGCAUGAAGGGCGACUGCGGCGGCGCGGCGGCGGUGCUGGCCGCCUUCGCGCUGGCCGUCAAGGCGCGUCCCACCGUCAACCUGCACGCCGUUCUCUGCCUCGCUGAGAACGCUGUCGGACCACUCGCUACCAGGCCUGAUGAUAUACACACGCUGUACUCAGGACGUACGGUGGAAAUCAACAAUACUGAUGCUGAAGGUCGUUUGGUACUGAGUGACGGAGUUGUGUACGCAUCUAGAGAUCUGAAGGCCGACACCAUUGUAGAUGUCGCCACUCUCACUGGCGCUCAGGGCACAGCGACCGGCAAAUACCACGCGGCUAUAAUCUCAAACAGUGCUCGCCUAGAGUCAGCGUGUGUCACCGCCGGGCUUCGAACCGGCGACCUCGCGCACCCGCUGCCCUUCGCACCGGAACUGCACUUCACCGAGUUCACUAGCUGUGUCGCUGAUAUGAAGAAUAGUGUUGCUGACCGCAACAACGCGCAGCCGUCAUGCGCGGGUCUGUUCGUGCUGUCACACCUGGGCUUCGACUUCCCCGGCCGCUGGCUGCACGUCGACAUGGCGGCGCCCGCACACUGUGGUGAACGUGCAACUGGUUACGGCGUGUCGCUGCUGUGUGUUCUGUUCGGUUCGCGCACACACUCGCGUCUGCUCAGAGCUCUGGCGCCUCAGUUGUGAUACACCACACUGUACUAGAUGCUAACACCAGUGUCCACUUAAACAAUAACGGAGGAGUACACUUGAAAACAUACAUGAUUUUCCCAAGAAAAAAUAGCUGAAUAACAAAAUACAUCAUAAUUAUUAAUUUACAGAUUUCAUGCUUUACAAUGUAAGUGUAAUUUAAAUAACAUCUCACAAAAAACAUUUAUAUUGACAACCUCUUAUUGGGAAGUCGGUAAGCAUAAUAUCUAAAGAAUUACUUCUUAUUAUUUUUACCUUUAGUAUCUUUUUCGAAUCUAAUCUACGAAACUGCUAGUUCUAAUAAAACUGUUGUCUAGAAUUAUGUUUUCAAAUACAAUGAAUAUUGUGGUUAUCUAGUAAUACUGCCCUCUACAAGAUUUUAUACAUUUAUAACAGAAAUAAUAAAAUAAUAGUUAGUUUUCUAAGCAAUAAACUUAUAUAAUAUCGUUAUGAUUAUAAUAUAACAAAGUAGCACUUAGUUUGGAACUGUUGCCGAAAAUUAAGAAUUAUUGUCACCUUAAUCAAAUAUCUGUAAGUCAUAUUUUAUAUAGGAAAGCUUAAGGCCUAUUCAGACCUAAGCGGUAUUCGCUACCGUCUGCGGCAGAGAAAACCCAGUGGGUAUGCGAUAAUAUUACUGUUCAUGUUCGGGAUGCAUGCCGCUGCUCCCGCGCGGUAUGUACUUCUACCCACAGCGGCAGCGAAUAUCGCUCAGGUGCGAAUAGGCCUUUAUUGUAUCUUUUAAAUUGUACCCAAGAAAUAGGGAUUUUAAUUUGCCCUAUUUUCCAUAAACCUUUUUUUAUGCUAAACUGUUCAGCAGCUUAGUUAUCAUCAACUUUCAAUUUUAAUUGAAACUAUUAAAAACCACAUUUACCACUAAGGCAUAGACUCUACUAAAACCGAGGAGUUUUUACACCUGAGUGGGCAGAUACAAGAUGCUUUAAUAACGAAAUUCUUAUUAUUCAUAGUCUAAGUGUGUAUUUAAAAUAAGAUCUUUCGGCAACGUGUUCUAUGUCGCAAGUAAAACGCAUGCUAUAUCUAACGAAAAGCAAUAUAAUGUACAAUAAUAAGUCUUGGAGUUGUUACCUACAAGUAAAUGUUACCGACAAUAUGAAGAAACUAAUGAAUACCGUCCUUUUUUGUGGAAGCAAGGAGUAUUAACAUAUUCUGAAAUGUUACUGAAUUGUACACAAAAUGUUAUAUGUAGCAUUUAGGGUGGAUUUCAAUAACCUUUCCGUUGAGUUGCCUACAUACAAGAGAUAGGCAUUCGAAAUUACUUGUAUGAGACUAAUUACAAAAUUAAGCUAAACAACAGUAGAUAUAUUAUUGAAACCCAGAGUUAAGGGACUAUAAUACUGAUUCAUCUAAGAUUAAUAUGUAUUGUCAUUCUCCUAUAGUUUCUAAAAAUCUCGGUAACAAUAAAAACAUUAAAUCCAAGUGUACCUUAUUGCAGUUACGAAGUAUAUAUUAUAAUGUUACACCAUUACUUUAAGCAAUAGUUUAAUUAUUUGUCGGUUUAAUUGAGGCUUUAGUCUGUACCAAUAAUAUUAAAUACUAGUUCAAGAAGUAUCGUAAUAUGCGGUAUUAACUAUAAAUUCUAAGACCCAGUUGCAUCAUUUAACUAUAACGAUAACCGAACCAUAAUCAGCCGUAUACAUGCCGCUCAUUGGCCAAAAAUGCGCGAUUUGACAACUGAAAAUAUUUCGGCUAUGGAUAGUUAAAUCAUGCUACUCACCGUAAUAUAAUAUGGAGCCAAUUAUGGAAGCAUUAUAAGGCCCAAACACAAGUUACAAAUUAACUAAGAAUUUAAAAUAUUGGUACAGUUAAAACGUCAACCAUAUAACACGCUAGAAAUACAUUAUAUAAUAAUAAAAUGUGUUCGCUCAGAGCCAAAUCAUAAGCCAUAAUAUUUUUAUAUUACAUAUUUAACAAGCAUUUAGUUUCAAUUUGCAAUAAAACACUAACUUUGGGUUACAACAUUUAACUAUAACGAUAAAUAAACUAUAACCAGCCGUGAAAUUGUCGCUUAUUGGUCAAAUCGUCGAUGACAACUGAAAAUGGUUCGGGUAUCGUUUUAGUUAAAUGGUGUCACUCAUUCAUUUGAUUUGUGUAGGUUUUAUAUUGCUGUUGAAACAAAUAAUCUGUCAAUAAUGUAAUCUUUAAGUGAAAGUGUUGACUUUUUCGAAAUAAAGUUGUAUUUGAAGAUAAA